This is a long non-coding RNA of Gopherus flavomarginatus (Mexican gopher tortoise), 472 nucleotides long. RefSeq lists it as uncharacterized. The transcript is spliced from 3 exons. The record is from RefSeq and is a predicted model, not a curated record. NCBI's taxonomy places the organism in Eukaryota, Metazoa, Chordata, Testudines, Testudinidae.
ACCAGAACUGCGUGCACAUCCAGCGUGCAGCCAGGUGGGAGCUAUGCACAUGCACUGUGCACCAGAACUGCGUGCACAUCCAGCGUGCAGCCAGGUGGGAGCUGUGCACACGCACUGUGCACCGGAACUGCGUGCACAUCCAGCGUGCAGCCAGGCGGGAGCUGUGCACACGCACUGUGCACCAGAACUGCAUGCACAUCCAGCGUGCAGCCAGAUGGGAGCUGUGCACACGCGCUGUGCACCAGAACUGCGUGCACAUCCAGCGUGCAGCCAGGCGGGUCCUGUACGCAGGUCCAGUGUGUGGCUAGGUGUGCCCUGUGCAUAUGCACUGUGCACCAGAACUGCGUGCACGUCCCACGUGGGACCGGCUGGUAUUUUGCACGCCACAGCAUUUGAAAUUCUGGCUCUCUGGCUGGCGCAGCGAUGCGCCUUGGGGGCUGGGGGGGCAUGGGGAGUUUGCUAAGAUCCUGUU